GAUGAACGCUGGCGGCGUGCAUAACACAUUCAAGUCGAACGGUGAUGAGGACUUCGGUCCUCUGAUCAGUGGCGGACGGGUGAGUAACACGUGAGUAACCUGCCCUUGAGUGGGAAUAACACACCGAAAGGUGUGCUAAUACCGCAUAAUAUAUGUAUCCCGCAUGAGAAACAUAUCAAAGAUUUAUUGCUCAAGGAUGGGCUCGCGGCCGAUUAGGUAGUUGGUGAGGUAAUGGCUCACCAAGCCGACGAUCGGUAGCCGGACUGAGAGGUUGAACGGCCACAUUGGGACUGAGACACCGGCCCAGACUCCUACGGGAGGCAGCAGGUGGGGAAUAUUGCACAAUGGGGGAAACCCUGAUGCAGCGACGCCGCGUGAAGGAUGAAGGUCUUCGGAUCGUAAACUUUUGUCUUCAGGGACGAUAAUGACGGUACCUGAGGAGGAAGCCACGGCUAACUACGUG
This 463-nucleotide ribosomal RNA is filed under the name uncultured bacterium. RNAcentral's name for it is "bacterial SSU rRNA". It matches the Rfam family "Bacterial small subunit ribosomal RNA", at positions 28 to 507 of the family's 1533-position model. The record is from RNAcentral.